UACGUAGGGUGCAAGCGUUAAUCGGAAUUACUGGGCGUAAAGCGUGCGCAGGCGGUUGGGCAAGACAGAUGUGAAAUCCCCGGGCUUAACCUGGGAAUGGCAUUUGUGACUGUUCGGCUAGAGUGUGUCAGAGGGGGGUAGAAUUCCACGUGUAGCAGUGUAAUGCGUAGAGAUGUGGAGGAAUACCGAUGGCGAAGGCAGCCCCCUGGGAUAACACUGACGCUCAUGCACGAAAGCGUGGGGAGCAAACAGG
This 253-nucleotide ribosomal RNA is filed under the name uncultured bacterium. Its description in RNAcentral is "partial 16S ribosomal RNA". It matches the Rfam family "Bacterial small subunit ribosomal RNA", at positions 524 to 776 of the family's 1533-position model. The record is from RNAcentral.